CCCUUAGAUGUUCUGGGCCGCACGCGUGCUACACUGAGUGGAUCAGCGGGUCAGGUUACGCGAGAGCGUUUCCUAAUCUUCAAAUCCGCUCGUGAUGGGGAUUGACGGUUGCAAUUUUCCGUCAUGAACGAGGAAUACCUUGUAAGCGCGGGUCAUCAUCCCGCGCUGAAUACGUCCCUGCCCUUUGUACACACCGCCCGUCGCUCCUACCGAUUGAGUGGUCCGGUGAGGCUUUGGGAUCUAAGCGAAAAGAGCGUUUCGCUCCCUUUGCUGGGAGAACUCAGUCGAACCUUAUCAUUUAGAGGAAGGAGAAGUCGUAACA
This 322-nucleotide ribosomal RNA is filed under the name uncultured eukaryote. RNAcentral's name for it is "partial 18S ribosomal RNA". It matches the Rfam family "Eukaryotic small subunit ribosomal RNA", at positions 1470 to 1796 of the family's 1831-position model. The record is from RNAcentral.